UCCUGACUGACCGAUAGUGAACCAGUACCGUGAGGGAAAGGCGAAAAGAACCCCGGCGAGGGGAGUGAAAAAGAACCUGAAACCGUGUACGUACAAGCAGUGGGAGCACGCUUAGGCGUGUGACUGCGUACCUUUUGUAUAAUGGGUCAGCGACUUAUAUUCUGUAGCAAGGUUAACCGAAUAGGGGAGCCGAAGGGAAACCGAGUCUUAACUGGGCGUUAAGUUGCAGGGUAUAGACCCGAAACCCGGUGAUCUAGCCAUGGGCAGGUUGAAGGUUGGGUAACACUAACUGGAGGACCGAACCGACUAAUGUUGAAAAAUUAGCGGAUGACUUGUGGCUGGGGGUGAAAGGCCAAUCAAACCGGGAGAUAGCUGGUUCUCCCCGAAAGCUAUUUAGGUAGCGCCUCGUGAAUUCAUCUCCGGGGGUAGAGCACUGUUUCGGCAAGGGGGUCAUCCCGA
This 459-nucleotide ribosomal RNA is filed under the name Escherichia coli. Its description in RNAcentral is "partial 23S ribosomal RNA". It matches the Rfam family "Bacterial large subunit ribosomal RNA", at positions 474 to 934 of the family's 2925-position model. RNAcentral also lists the same sequence under 1 other name. Lineage: Bacteria; Pseudomonadati; Pseudomonadota; Gammaproteobacteria; Enterobacterales; Enterobacteriaceae. The record is from RNAcentral.